CGGGGGGAGCAAGCGUUGUUCGGAUUUACUGGGCGUAGAGGGCGCGUAGGCGGCCACCGCAAGUCGACUGUGAAAUCUCCGGGCUUAACCCGGAAAGGUCAGCCGAUACUGCGGGGCUAGAGUGCAGAAGGGGCAACUGGAAUUCUCGGUGUAGCGGUGAAAUGCGUAGAUAUCGAGAGGAACACCUGCGGCGAAGGCGGGUUGCUGGGCUGACACUGACGCUGAUGCGCGAAAGCUAGGGGAGCGAACGGGAUUAGAUACCCCGGUAGUCCUAGCCUUAAACGAUGAAUGCUUGGUGUCUGGGGUUUUAUAGUCCCCGGGUGCCGUCGCUAACGCUUUAAGCAUUCCGCCUGGGGAGUACGGUCGCAAGACUG
Molecule: ribosomal RNA, 374 nt
Filed under: uncultured organism
Description: bacterial SSU rRNA
Rfam family: Bacterial small subunit ribosomal RNA
Source: RNAcentral